This 563-nucleotide ribosomal RNA is filed under the name Enterobacter hormaechei. Its description in RNAcentral is "partial 23S ribosomal RNA". It matches the Rfam family "Bacterial large subunit ribosomal RNA", at positions 2261 to 2823 of the family's 2925-position model. Lineage: Bacteria; Pseudomonadati; Pseudomonadota; Gammaproteobacteria; Enterobacterales; Enterobacteriaceae. RNAcentral also lists the same sequence under 1 other name. The record is from RNAcentral.
GUGGGUAGUUUGACUGGGGCGGUCUCCUCCCAAAGAGUAACGGAGGAGCACGAAGGUUGGCUAAUCCUGGUCGGACAUCAGGAGGUUAGUGCAAUGGCAUAAGCCAGCUUGACUGCGAGCGUGACGGCGCGAGCAGGUGCGAAAGCAGGUCAUAGUGAUCCGGUGGUUCUGAAUGGAAGGGCCAUCGCUCAACGGAUAAAAGGUACUCCGGGGAUAACAGGCUGAUACCGCCCAAGAGUUCAUAUCGACGGCGGUGUUUGGCACCUCGAUGUCGGCUCAUCACAUCCUGGGGCUGAAGUAGGUCCCAAGGGUAUGGCUGUUCGCCAUUUAAAGUGGUACGCGAGCUGGGUUUAGAACGUCGUGAGACAGUUCGGUCCCUAUCUGCCGUGGGCGCUGGAGAAUUGAGGGGGGCUGCUCCUAGUACGAGAGGACCGGAGUGGACGCAUCACUGGUGUUCGGGUUGUCAUGCCAAUGGCACUGCCCGGUAGCUAAAUGCGGAAGAGAUAAGUGCUGAAAGCAUCUAAGCACGAAACUUGCCCCGAGAUGAGUUCUCCCUGAGACCU